Molecule: ribosomal RNA, 241 nt
Filed under: uncultured Staphylococcus sp.
Lineage: Bacteria; Bacillati; Bacillota; Bacilli; Caryophanales; Staphylococcaceae
Description: partial 16S ribosomal RNA
Rfam family: Bacterial small subunit ribosomal RNA
Source: RNAcentral
CGGACGGGUGAGUAACACGUGGAUAACCUACCUAUAAGACUGGGAUAACUUCGGGAAACCGGAGCUAAUACCGGAUAAUAUUUUGAACCGCAUGGUUCAAAAGUAAAAGACGGUCUUGCUGUCACUUAUAGAUGGAUCCGCGCUGCAUUAGCUAGUUGGUAAGGUAACGGCUUACCAAGGCAACGAUGCAUAGCCGACCUGAGAGGGUGAUCGGCCACACUGGAACUGAGACACGGUCCAG